RNAcentral lists this ribosomal RNA (492 nucleotides) under uncultured bacterium. Its description in RNAcentral is "partial 16S ribosomal RNA". It matches the Rfam family "Bacterial small subunit ribosomal RNA", at positions 30 to 507 of the family's 1533-position model. The record is from RNAcentral.
ACUGAACGCUUUCUUUAUUCCUAACACAUGCAAGUCGAACGGCAGCACAGUAAGAGCUUGCUCUUACGGGUGGCGAGUGGCGGACGAGUGAGGAAUACAUCGGAAUCUACUUUUUCGUGGGGGAUAACGUAGGGAAACUUACGCUAAUACCGCAUACGACCUACGGGUGAAAGCAGGGGAUCUUCGGACCUUGCGCGAUUGAAUGAGCCGAUGUCGGAUUAGCUAGUUGGCGGGGUAAAGGCCCACCAAGGCGACGAUCCGUAGCUGGUCUGAGAGGAUGAUCAGCCACACUGGAACUGAGACACGGUCCAGACUCCUACGGGAGGCAGCAGUGGGGAAUAUUGGACAAUGGGCGCAAGCCUGAUCCAGCCAUACCGCGUGGGUGAAGAAGGCCUUCGGGUUGUAAAGCCCUUUUGUUGGGAAAGAAAAGCAGCAGGUUAAUACCCCGCUGUUCUGACGGUACCCAAAGAAUAAGCACCGGCUAACUUCGUG